UAAAAAUAUGCGAUUGGAGGAAAUAAAGGCAAUGUCAGGCAGCUGAAACUAUUUGUUAGAUUUGGUUACGAAUUGGUUGUUGCAACUUGAAUUGCAAAUUGCAAAGAAACUAGCAAUUUGAUUGGUUGAAAACUUGACAAGUUCUACUAUAAAUACAUGCCUCCAGUUUCAGUUUUAAAACACACCAAAUAGAGAGAGCAAUUGAGAGAAUAGAGAGUAAUCACGGUCUAUUUUCUAUAGUCUGUGAGAUAAUAGAGUGGGAGUAAUAUUUAAGUGAGUUGUGUAAAAUAAAGAGUGUUCUUUUUUUUUUUGAAGUGUAGUAGUCUCUUGACACUACUAAGUUGUAUUAAGUGAUAUUAUAGAGCUCCGUUCAAGUAUUGUAUUUUAUCCCCGUUAAAAGAUUUGGUGUCGUUGUUACUCUCUUAUUCUUGCUAUUUAACGUGGAUAUUAUUCCUGGGCGGGAUCAUUAUUUCCCAACAGUUCUAGACAUAGGAUAAAAAUAUAGGGAGAAGGAGGGUCCCCUUGACGGAUGCCUCAACUUGGUUGAAAAUAACUAGUGACAGCACCAUUUAUAUCAAUGGCUAUACUAGUACUCAGACAAUUCAUUAUUAAUUUAGUGAUGCCAGGGGGAAAGUGAAAAAACCUAAGCUUACGAUAAUCACAGGACCAUUCAAGCUUAUCAAAAGCUUUCUCCAGAUCCAGUUUUAUUAGCAUGUCAUAUUUUUUGCCUUUUUUUCGUUUGAAAUAAGAAACUAUUUCCUGGACUAAUAGCCUGUUUGGCCAAGUUAAUUUUUUUCCUAAAAGUACUUAUUUUUUCAAUAAGUGCUUAUUUUAAAAAAAGCGAAAUGUUUGGCCAAGCUUUUGGGAGAAAAUAAGUGCUUUUGGGGAGUAGCAGAAACAGUUUUUCAGAAGCUAAAAAAAAUAGCUUUUGCCCAAAAGCACUUUCUUGAAAAGUACUUUUGAGAAAAAUACACUUAGAAGCACUUUUUAAAAGCUUGGCUAAACACUAAUUGCUUCUCAAAAGUAUUUUUUAAAUUAAUUGGCCAAACACAAACUGCUUUUAGCCAAAAGUACUUUUUUGAAAAAUACUUUUGAAAAAAAGUAUUUUUUAACAUAAACUGUUUUUAUAAGCUUGGCCAAACAGACUAUAAGAUUGCAUUAUCACUAGCCUUUCUAUUAGGUAUGAAACUAGCCUGGUAUGGACUAAUAAGGGUUUGAAGAAAGGGUUUUACACGAUUACCUAUACUCUUUGUAAUAAUCUUUUAUACAGGAUUGCACAAUCCUAUAGGCCUAAAGUCCUUAAGAAUAUUAGCAUUGGGCACCUUAGGGAUUAGGCACAAAAUGGUUUUAUUGAUAUCUAAAGGAAUGUCAUGAUUUUGGAACACUUUAGUACAAAAUUGGAUUAUUGAGUGAGUUAAUUGUUAUAGCCCGUAUUUUGUACGUUGGAUAUUUCAAAGUCAUCGUGGAAAGUUAAAGGCGAGACCAUUUUCAAAAUUAUUUUAGUGCACAAGUUAGUUAUGAAUAUUAUUUAUGAAUAUUAGUGGACGAAAAUAUUGAGAAAGGUUAAGGGCAAAAAGGAGAAAUUCAAAAUGAUAAAUGGUAAUAUUGAGGAAAGUUGAGGGGCAAAAUGGGAAUUUCACAAGGUGUUCAAGAAAGUUCUUGAGGGACCAAAGUGUACAUGGUAAGAUAUUAGGUCAUCUUUUAUUCUAAGAAAAAUUCAAAAAAAAAAAAGAAGGGGAAUUCUCUAGAGAAAGAAAGGAUGGCCAAGUGUCCACAUUCUUACUUAAGGGGCCUAAGUGUAUAUAUGAAAAAGUGGUGGCUAAAAUGAAACAAGUAAGUCAUCUUUUAUUUAAGAGAAUUCAAGAAGAAGGAAGAAAGUUCUAGAAAAAUAAAUGAAUAAAGAGAGCAUGUGCUUCUCACAUGCUUGAAGAAGCCAAGUAUAUAUAUAGAUUGGAGAGGUCAUCUUUUUAAAUCAAGAAGUUGUAGAGAAACGAAAGAAAAAAAAAUAUAGAAGAAGAAGAAAGAGGAGGGGCCAAUUCGGCCAAGAAGGAGGAGAAAGAGAGGACCAAAAAUCUUGCCCCAAAAAUUUGUUUCUCAUAGCAUUUCUACUAAUUCAAAGAUGCUCCCAACAUGGUAUAAUUGUUGAAGCAAGAGAAUUACUCUUUGGUGCAAAACUCCAACCUUAGCUAAGUUGAGAGGUUGUGGAGGGAAGGUACUCCCAGAUGAUUAGAAGACCUUACUGAAGAUGUUCCAGCGGAGAUGGCGAACUCCAUUAGUCCCGGAGAAUUGCCAAGUCCAAGUAUAUGCUAUGAUGUUUUGUUCUAUGUUAGAGACUUUGCAGACAAAGCAAUGGGUAUUGGGGUGGCAGUCUGUAAGCGGCUCCAGCAGCCGAUAUGUUAUUAUGUUUUAUGUCACGAGCCUUAUAUGAUGUCAGAGUUUACUUAUGAAAAGAAAAAAAAAUAUUGGAGAGCUUACUAUGUAUUUCUUUUCUCACUGAUUCAAGAGUUUCUAUACGUAACAAGAGUCAGCGGGUUCGCUCGGCUCCAGAUAUGGGGUCGGGUGCCCAUCACACCCUAGUAAAGUCGGGGUGUGACAUUAAUUCUUUAAA
Long non-coding RNA from Lycium barbarum (goji berry), 2608 nucleotides. RefSeq lists it as uncharacterized. NCBI's taxonomy places the organism in Eukaryota, Viridiplantae, Streptophyta, Magnoliopsida, Solanales, Solanaceae. The transcript has 2 exons. The record is from RefSeq and is a predicted model, not a curated record.